This 120-nucleotide ribosomal RNA is filed under the name Helianthus annuus (common sunflower). The record is from RNAcentral. RNAcentral also lists the same sequence under 1 other name. Lineage: Eukaryota; Viridiplantae; Streptophyta; Magnoliopsida; Asterales; Asteraceae.
GGUUGCGAUCAUACCAGCACUAAUGCACCGGAUCCCAUCAGAACUCCGCAGUUAAGCGUGCUUGGGCGAGAGUAGUACUAGGAUGGGUGACCCCCUGGGAAGUCCUCGGGUUGCAACCCC